GCUUGGUUACAUUUUAUUUUUCACAACACAAAUGAUGAUAGUCGAUGUUUCUAAAAGAUGGAUGUCAAGAUGAAGAGGAAGAUGAUGCAGUCGAGAAGAUUUAUUAUAGCAGCUAAAUCAAUCAUCGAAUCAAUGAUUUACCAAAUUAAAGAGAGGGCCAGCAUAAGAUGUUGGAACAUAAACUUUUUAAGGACAGAGCUGCAUUGGUAGAUAAGUUGUUUCCGGGAAUAGAUCACAUGACAAACACGCUCUCCAGUAUCUCAAAGAUAUCAAGUGGUGCAGGAUACAUGAUCCUAAAGGAUUUAAACUGGAAUUCUUAUUUGGUCCCAAUCCUUAUUUUAAAAACUCUGUACUAACAAAAACAUAUCACAUGAUUGAAGAACAUGAGCCCAUAUGGAGGAAGGAUAUUGGGUAAUUCUAGUUUCUGUGGUGUAGUGAUUUUUCCUCUUUUUUUCUUUCUCUUAUUCUAAAGUUGAGAAUUGGGAUGCCUUGUAGGACUGAGAUUGAGUGGUAUCCUGGGAAAAACUUGACAAUCAAAGAAUGCCAAGUCCAUGACUGCACCUGAAAUUUGUUACAGUUUCCUUAAGUUUUUCAAACCUGCCCAAUAUGAUGAUUAUACUAGGGAAGAUAAGGCAAGUAUGAUUUCAUUAAUUUGAUGAAGUAAUCUGGAUUUCACAUCCAAAACCAAUUGGCAAUGGAUGGAGUGGCCCAAACCCUUAUAAACCCAUAGGCAAUAUCCCAUUUUUAAGGUCCCAUUUUUCUCAUGUGGGAUGUAUAUAUUCUCAACACGCCCCCGCACGUGUGGCGAAUUUUCAAACCAUACACGUGGACAACUUUGGAUGACGUAGAGCCUGUGUGGCAGUGAGGCAUGCACACGUGGGAUAACCUGGCUCUGAUACCAUGAUGAAGUAAUUUGGGUUUCACAUCCAAAACCAAUUGGCAAUAGAUGGAGUGGCCCAAACCCUUAUAAACUCAUAGGUAAGGUCCCAUUUUUAAGGUCCCAUUUUUUCUCAUGUGGGAUGUAUAUAUUCUCAACAUAAUUGAGAUCUCAAGGCUAUUGAACUUGGUCAAUCAUGAUAUAAGCAAGUCUUUUCUAAUCUCUCUGAUGCAUCUGUAGACAGGUUUCUAUGUUGAAGACUAAGAUAAAAGACAACCAUGAAAUGGCAUACCUAAUGAUUACCUUUGCUUUGCUUCUCUAAUGCAUGUAGUGUAGCUCGAUUAAUGAUUUGUAAGGUAGUACACUUUGUUGAAACAAUAAUUUUAUGUUACCUACUGCCUAAAUUUGUGUUGUUAUCUGUGUCAUUGUAUUUUCAAUGUUUGGUUACUAAAGGCGCUCUCUUUGGUACUGCAGAAGCUGGCUGAUCUCACUUUCACCUAGCCCCAUAUUUAUAGAUGGAAUAGUACUCACUAAGAUUGAUACUGUAGACGAUAAGGUUGAAGUUGCGCUUUCCAUGGUUUACAUAUCUGGAGCUCCGGUCAUGUUUGUUGGGUGUGGGCAGUCCUACACAAACCUCAAAAAGUACACAUGUGAAAUCAAUUGUGAAGACUCACUUUGGGUCAGAAUGCUUAGAUUAGAAUGCUUUGUUGUUUUAAGGUUGGCUUGGAUGAUGAUGAAAUACUCCAUUUUUAUGUUUGAAGUUCAAUAUAUGUGUUGGAUUACUCAUCUGAUGGAUUGUAAUUAGCUUUGUUU
Molecule: long non-coding RNA, 1690 nt
Organism: Rosa rugosa (rugosa rose)
Lineage: Eukaryota; Viridiplantae; Streptophyta; Magnoliopsida; Rosales; Rosaceae
Exons: 3
Source: RefSeq, a predicted model, not a curated record